UACCUAUGCUGGUAGCCUGGAGCGGCUAU
This 29-nucleotide small RNA is filed under the name Bombyx mori (domestic silkworm). Its description in RNAcentral is "ovarian small RNA-6074". Lineage: Eukaryota; Metazoa; Arthropoda; Insecta; Lepidoptera; Bombycidae. The record is from RNAcentral.